UUUUUUUUUUUUAAGUAGAGACAGAGUCUUGCUAUGUGGCCCGGGCUGGUCUCGAACUCCAGAGCUCAAGUGAUCCACCCACCUUGGCCUCCCAAAGUGCUGGGAUUACAGGCAUGAGCCACCACACCUGGCCUGAUUGUUUCUAAAUGGCAGCAAGAACAGGAUUUGACAGCAAGGGCAAAUCACAUAAUAUGUGGCAUAUUCAGAAUUGGUUGUGAGUUUCCAGUAGAAAGCACUGAGAAUAUCCAUAGGGCAAAAUGGAAUACUAAUAAUCCUCAUCUGCCUUUGCCUUUGUACUGGACAGCAGACCUUACUUAAGCCCAUCAAAGGCAAGGUCUGGGCCUGCCACAGCAGAUUUCAAAAAGACAAAGCAAUGCAAGCCAUGUGUUCAAAAUGCCCUAAGUGGCUAUUCAGGUAAUAUACAAAAGUAAGACCAGGCUAAUUAGUGUACUGUGUGGUAAACUAGAGAGCAGAAGGCCCUUCUUUAAAAUGAGCCUACCACUGCUUGUCCUCAGUGUGAAUUUAGACCCCAUCUUCUGAUAUUUCAGGAGACAGUAAAAAUCCAGAUUUUUAUCUAAAAUCUUUUUAAUUUUUAAACAGUCACCUGAUUUUAACAAAAUACUAUGUGUGCAAAAAGGAACCAUCUACAGGAAUGAUCUAGUCCAGAGGAUACCAGGUUGCUCACAACGUCUUAUGAAGUUGUUUAACCCAUAGUGAGAAAUAUUAUACAAUUACACCAGACCAAAGACAUACAUACAUACAAAUAUGUAGCUGGGACAAAAAUUUCACAGAACAAUGCAGUCAUUCCUCAGUAUCCAUGGAAGAGUGGUUCCAGGAAUCCCUACAGAUUCUAAAAUCCAUGGAUAUACACAUUCCUUAUAUAAAAUGGUAUAUUUACAUAUAACCUACAUAUAUCUUCCUGUCUCUUUAAAUCAUCUCUAGAUUACUUAUAACAAAUACAAUGUAAACACCAUAUAAAUAUAUUGUAUUUUUUAAAAUUUGCAUUAUUUUGUAUUGUUGUAUUUUUUUCCAAAUAUUUUUUAUCUGUGGUGGUGGAACCCACAGAUACGGAACCUGUGGAUACAGAGCACCUCCUGGUGAUGCUUGAUGAUGCCCUUUGCCAGAUGAAGGCUGAUAUUUUCUUAUUUUCUUAUCUGUCUUCUAGCUAAAUCUAUUCUUUCCUAAUCUACUUCAUUUUAAUAUCCACAAUUGCAUUCAAAACUGUGGCCUAGUUUUAAACACUGCCCAAGAGAAACUGCCAAGCCAUUGGCUGAGUUAAAGAGGUAAUGGUACAUACCCAUGUUUUGUACCACAUGAGAAAAAGGAAACAUUUCAAAUAAGCCAAAACUAUAAAGAAACAGAAGCUAUGAGGUUAUACAAGCAUUUAUAAACAUAUUCUGUUGGCCUGAAAUAUUUUAAAACAAUUGAAGCUUCCCCCCAACCCCAUUGGUUCCAGGAUCCCCCACAGAUAUUCAAGACCCUUACAGAAAAUGUUCUAGUAAUUGCAUACAACCUAUACACAUCCUAUCAUAUACUUUAAAUCACCUCUAAAUUAAAAAAAAAAAACAAAAACAAAAAACAAACCUGAAGCCAAUCAGGCUUUUUGUAGACAGCUGGUCAUCUUAGGCAGACAUUUCCACUGGGCAACAAUCAGCAGAAGUCAAGUACUAAAGUCUUCUCCUUUGGAGGAAAUAUGUAUGUCCCAAUUACACACAAUGUCAAACAUUCCCUACUAACCUCCUAGAAGCGUCAGUUGCCCUUUACCAUUCCAUUUGCACCCUUGUUUAUAUUUUAAAGAAACUGCCCUCCUAAUGUCUCUAUUAAAAAUGAUUGAACAAAAGAUCACCCCCCUCACACACAAAAGACAGUGUUUCAAGAAAAGAAGAAAACACCAGAACCAUCUUAUACAUUUAUGGCAUCUGGAUCCUACAGGCAUUUGCAAUUGCAGUCCUUGAAACAAAGAGAAGUCCAACAGUCAGUUGUUAAUGGAUACAUUAUAAGCUGUAAGAAACAAGCAAAGUAAAAGCAGCAAAAUAGGGUAAUCAUCAUAUUAAUGGCAGAAAACAAAAGUGAAGAUCCACAAACUGCUGCUGUGGGUAUAUAAGUAUCUAUCUAAACUGGGAUACAAUAGGCCUAGUAAAUUUGUCUUCUCAGGAAUUGGAAUUGAGCUAUUAAAAGUAAUCACAGUUCACAAAGGAAACUGAAGCUGAAAGGAUACAACAAGCAACACAAUGCAGAGGUGAGGUCAAGAGGAUCAUAAGCAGGCAAAACUUAUGAGGAAGAUGAAGCCAUAAGUAAGCAGAACCUAUAAAUAGGCUAAAAAUAUGAAAUGGAGGGCCGGGCACGAUGGCUCAUGCCUGUCAUCUCAGCACUUUGGGAGGCCUAGGUGGGAGGAUCACCUGAUGUCAGGAGUUCGAGACCAGGCUGGCCAAUUUGGUGAAACCUCAUCUCUACUAAAAAUACAAAAACUAGCCAGGCAUGGUGGCUGGUGCCUGUAAUCCCAGCUACUCAGGAGGUUGAGGCAGGAAAACCACUUGAACCCUGGAGGCAGAGGUUGCAGUGAGCUGAGAUCUCACCACUGCACUCCAGCCUGGUGACAGAGAAAGACUCCAUCUCAAAAAAAAAAAAAAAAAAAGAGAGAGAGAGAGAGAGAUGGAGAAAAAACAAAGUGGAUGGGCGAGCCAAUAUUUAAAAAAGCAGAAAUUAUAAGACACAACAGAUAAGCAGAGAGACUGGGCUCACACCUGUAAUCCCAGCACUUUGGGAGGCUGAGGCAGGCGGAUCACCUGAGGUCAGGAGUUCAAGGCAGGGAGAAACCCCAUCUCUACUAAAAAUACAACAUUAGCCAGGCGUGAUGGCAGGUGCCUGUAAUCCCAGCUGCUUGAGAGGCUGAGGCAGGAGAAUCACUUGAACCCAGGAGGAGCUUCUCUGAAUCCAGUUCACAUACCUAACAGGCAUAAUCAUAUUAAGGUCCCCCUAAACAGGUGUCCCUUGGUAUCCACAGAGGAAUUGGUUCCAGAAUCCCCCACAGAUAUUCAAAUAUUUUAUAUAAAAUAUUCUAGUAAAUGCAUACAACCUAUACACAUCCUCUCAUAUAUGUUAAAUCAUCUCUAGAUUACUUAUAAUACCUAAUACAAUAUAAAUGCUAUGUAAAUAGUGGUUAUACUCUAUUGUUUAGGGAAUAACGACCAAAAAUAAAGUCUGUACAUGUUCAGUACAGACACAACCAUCUAUAUUUUUUAGCCAAAUAUUUUUGAUCCACAGGUGGCUGAAUCCACAGAUGUGGAACCCACAGAUACAAAAGAUCACCUGUAUGUGAAACUGCAUGUGAUCCAAGUCACCAUUAUUUCCCCACAGGUGGCCUGCAAAUAACCUGUCAUUAAGUGAGCUCAACAGAGAAUUUGUUUCUAGCAAUCACAAGUGCCUAACCCAUAGUAAGAAGCAGAACAGCCCCCUAGGAAGAAUGUAGUUUAGGAAACUAGCUACAAACCUGAAGAGAAUCCUCUUUGUUUUGAAGAUGUUGUACAAACCAGCUUGUGAUAUCAUGGAACUUUUAGAACUUUUACCCAGGAGAAGGUGAGUCUUUAAGAGACUUGGUAGAUAACUGCGAUCAAGCAGCUUUAAAGAGCUAAACCAGAUAGAAUGAAUGUGUCAUAGUGUUAUCCAUGCCCAAAAUCUUUCUAAAGAAAAACCUUCUUAGCCAGGCAAACAAGACUGCUAAGAAAGCAUUCUUGUGACCAACUAUCCCUCCUCCAAAUCCAAAGUUGAUCAGACCAAGGGUAAGUAAGGCUCAGACUCAAGGGCAUAUGUCUACAAGCUGGUCAACAGCCUAUGACUUGUGACAUGAAAGCCCUCCCCAAACAAGGAUGAGGUGAGAAAAUUAGAUUAAAUUUGUAAUUGGAAAAAACAGAAGAACAGAAACUCAGCAGCUGAAGUGAAUGGAUACAUGGUAAAAGAACAUACCACAGCUACGUAAGAAGCAUGAAAGAUUUAAAUAAGAUCAACUUGUGAGGAAUAGGCACAGGAGUCAGAAGCCAUAAAGAAGCAAAAACUGGCCAGGCAUGGUGGCUCACGCCUGUAAUCCCAGUACCUUGGGAGGUCAAGGCAGGAAGAUCACUUGACACCAGGAGUUCAAUAAUAACCUGGGCAACAUAGUGAGACCCUGUCUCUAUUAGUUAAAAAAAAAAAAGAAAGAAGCAGAAACUAUCCAUUAGCAAUAGGAUAAAGAAUAGAAAUGAGGAAGUGAGUAUGUAGCAGGAAAGGAGUUCAUAGCAAUAAUGUAAACUAUUACAUUCCUAGUAAUUUACCAAAUUAAUUAAAUAAAGACAUUCCUAAUAAACUGAGCUAAGUUGUCAAGUCAGAAUACUAUAUUAUGGGCCAGGCAUGGUGGCUCAUGCCUAUAGUCCCAGCACUUUGGGAGGCUGAGGCAGGCAGAUUGCUUUGAGCUCAGGAGUUUGAGACCAGCCUAGGCAACACAGUGAAACCCCAUCUCUACAAAAAAUACAAAAAUGAGCUGGGCAUGGUGGUGCAUGCCUGUAUUCCUAGCUACUUGGGAGGAUGAGGUGAGAGAAUCGCUUGAGCCGGGAGUCGGAGGUUGCAGUGAGCCAAGAUUGCACCAUGGCACUCCAGCCUGGGUGACAAAGCAAGACCCUGUUUCCAAAAAAAAAAAAGAGAGAGAGAGAGAGGAUACUAUAUUAUGAUCUGGUGUAAGGGAAAAGGGAAAGAAUACUGAAUGAUGAGAAUCAAUAAUGCCUAUAACCAGUAACAAACAAAAAGUAUUUGUGACCUCACAAAGGGUUGCUUAGAAAAUUAAAAUCUCCAAACUAUAGAUCAGAAUGUAGAUCUGAUACAACUUAACAGGCAUAUAAAAUAGCAUUAGGAUAUAAGGAGAGUAAGAUUUCAGAGUUAACUGUGAGACUGUCAAGUUCCAAAGAUGGUCAGGUACCUCUGGAUGCUACAUGACUGAGUUGCAUUCUAGUUUUAGAGCUUGAUUCUGGAUACACUUAUAGUAGCUGGACUGUGUUAGGCUAAAGCAAUUUUGUAUUAUAAGUAGGGAAAGAGAUACAUUUGCACAUAGUAAUCAAUAGGGGGAAAUGUCCUAGACCUGCCAAAUAGCAACUACUAUCCCUGCGGUCUCAGGAAACUUAACAACCCACAGGGAAUCAGAUUCUCAAUUUAAUGACAACUUGGCAACAUGGAGAGUAGCAAGAGCUAAAGCCGACAGUCUGUAAAGAGAAAGAUAGUGUAGAAGGAAGGUCACACCUAUAGUAGUUGCAAAAGCUCAAGUUAUGAAUGAGAAACAAAAUCUAAGUAUUCAGUAACCAGGAGGUUAGAGAAAGACAGAAAAUGAGGAAAUCAAUCUGUAGUAGGACCAAGAUGAUGUGCACAAGGAGAGAAGAGCUUAAUCACAUUAAUGAUACCACACUAGUCGAAUUCCGUAAACUUCUUUAAAAUUAUCCAAAUGACCCCAUUUCUUGCAAUGAAAUCUGGAUUGCAAAGAAGAGACCCUCAAAAGGAAUGCAGCUAUUUGGAAUCAGUUAUACUGAAGCAACAGGGUAGAGAGCCAAGCAAAGUACACAAUAGUGGUGACAUGCAAAGCGUCUAAUUUAGCUACCGCCAGUGCUCUCAGAAACUUAAAACUGUGAAAUAUGGAAACAGGUAAUCAGUAGCAAAGACCAGAGGUGAAAAAGGAUUCUAAGGGAAAAUCAGAGGCAUAAAUAUGAGGAAGUCCACUAUGACUAAGCAGAAACUAGGUGAGCAGAAGUUGUAAGAGUACAGUAUCAUAAAGCAGGUAUUGGCAAACUACAGCCAACAAACCAAAUCCAGCCCACUACCUUUUUCUGUAACUAGUUUUGUUGGAACACAGCCAUACUCAUUCAUUUAUGUAUUGUCUAUGACUGCUUUCAUGCUACAAGAGCAGAAACCAUAUGGCCCAGAAAACCUAAAAUAUUUACCACUGGGCCUUUUACAGAAAAAGUUUGCUAACUCCCCUCAUAGAAGAUAGCAUAAGCCAAUGGCAGGAAAACUGAAACAGGCUGAGAGAAUAUUUAAGUCAUGUUAAAAGCAGAGCACUGGAGAAAAGAUUUUGAAAGUCCUACUGUUGAGAGCUCCACAAGUACCCUUACUAUAACCCCGCAAACCCUGAAUGUGCUGAACAUUUAGAAAAAUUAGUUACAUACCACACACCAAAGAGGUUCCCAAUGGGAAAGAUUUGUAUUAAAAAAAACAAUAAAAAGUAUAAAGGAAUUAUGAACUAUAAAAAAUAUAUUUAUCUUCCUAUUAUAAAAUGCAAGUGGAGAAUAAACCAUAAAGAAAAAGAUAUUUGAGCUACAUACAAAUUAAUAAUUUAUAGGCCAAACUGGGGGAAAUAUCUGCAACAUACGAUAGACUAAAACUAAGUGUGAAAAAUAAACUCAAAAAUAAAGACCCAAGAUUUUUACCUCUUCUAUCUUGUUAGGAAUCAAAGAAAUACAAAUUAAAAUAUCAAAGGCCAUUUUUCACCUUUACAACUGGCAAAUUCUUCUGAAACCUUAAUAUAGUGUACUGGUGAAAAGUAAAAAAAAAAGGCAUUCUUAUACACCACUAGAAGGACUAUAUAUUUUAUCCAACCUCAGAAAAUAAACACACAUAUGUACAACAAUUUAUCUAUAGAGAUAUUCACUGUACCACUAUUUAUACACAAUUAAAAGAGCAGUAAUUAAAACAAGAUUCCAAAUAUCGGAUACAAGUUAAAUUUUUACAUUCAUGCAGUGGUGUAUUAUGUGCCAAUUUUUAAAAGAUGUUAUUCAAGUAUAUUUAAUGGCAUGGGAUAUAUUUGAGAUUGGUUCAGUUUAAAACAAUAGGCAACAAAAGAUUUCAUUAAUGAUCCUAACAUCAACAAUUGAAAAAGACUGCAAUCCCCCGCAAAACAACUCACUUUUGAACAUAGAAAAAGACCGGGCAGGGCAUGGUAGCUCACCCUGUAAUCCCAACACUUUGGAAGGUUAAGGUGAGCAAACAGCUUGAGCCCAGGAGUUUAAGACCAGCCUAGGCAACAUGGAGAAACCCCGUCUCUACGAAAAACACAAAAAUUAUCUGGGAGUGGUGGUGCACACCUAUGGUCCCAGCUACUCAGGAGGCUGAGAGGUAGGAGGAUCCCUUGAGCCAGGGAGGUCAAGGCUGCAGUAAGCCAUGAUAGCACUACCACACUCCAGCCUGGACAACAGAGUGAGGCUCUGUCUCAAAAAAACAAAAAAAAAAACAAAGGGAAAAAAAUAAUAAAUAGAAAAUAAAAUUUGAAAUAUCAAAUUUAGCAAACAUAAUUCAAAAUUCUUGAAAAGUAUGAAUCUGGCUGCUGGGCAUGGUGGCUCAUGCCUGUAAUCCCAACACUUUGGGAGGCUGAGGUGGGCAGAUCACGACAUCAGGAGUUCGAGACCAGCCUGGCCAGCAUGGUGAAACCCCAUCUCUACUAAAAAAAAAUAUCAAAAAUUGGCUGGGCAUGGUGGUGUACACCUGUAAUCCCAGCCACUCAGGAGGCUGAGGCAGGAGAAUUGCUUGAACCCAGGAGGCAGAGGCUGCAGUGGGCUGAGAUCGCACCACUACACUCCAGCCUGGGCGACAGAGCUAGACUCCGUCUCAAAAAAUAAAAAUAAAAAAAGAAAAGUAUGAAUCUUCUUCCAGAAAUGUAAAGUUGGUUUAUUAUUAGGAAAGCUAUUAAACAUAACAAAUACAACAAACAGUCAAAGAAGAAUAUUUACUUUCAUAUUCAACAAUUGCUUACCUGAGAUACCUGUUCCUUUGUCCAAAUCACCUUUUGAGAUAUCAGUGGAAGAAUUAAUACUUCAUAAUCCUGAAAGCCAAAUUUAGGGUUUGAAAUAGCACAGCCCACUAUCUUGCCUGUUAAGAUAAUGAUUAUAUCCAAAGUAACCUCCGUAUUAGAUUCACUUAUGAGGUAAGUAGGGUAGAAAACACGUUGGUGAAAAAGGUAAGCACACCAGAGCUGGUAAUGUAAAGUUAAGAACAAAUAACACAGUAUAAAGACAACAUCACUUCUAAGCCAUACAAAGAAAGACCCAUGAUGAGGAAGAGAUUCCCCUAAGGAAUGGUAAUAACAUGGCCCAUGAAGAAUAUUCAUGGAAUUUGUAUGAAUAUUCUGCAAAUCAUGCACGUAAGACACAGAUCACAAGAGACUUUUCAGUGCUGAUUCAAAUACAGCUGUAUUAUUUUUAUUAUAUACACUGUAAAUCAAAUAACUCUGAAUGGUUGUUUUAUUGUAUACAUCUUUCUGUUUGAAAGUCUUUGUGUAUGUAUACUGUAGAGCAGGGUCAGCAUGCUAUGGCCCCUGGGCCAAAUCCAACCUACUACCUGUUUUUGUAAAUCAAGUUUUACCAGAACACAAUCAUGCUCAUUUGUAUCCAUAUUGUCUAUGGACGUUUUCAUGCUACAGCAGCAGAGUUGAAUAGAGAGACUACCUAGCCCUUUACAAAAGAAGUUUGCCAACCCGUGCCAUAGAGUGUCCCUUAAUGGAACAGCUGGCAAAACCUACACCUAGCAGAACGAAUGAAAUGUUCAUUCAUAGUAAUUUACUAAAUUAAUUAAAGACUAUUCGUAAUAAACUGAGCUAAGUUGCCAAGUCGGAAUACUGUAUUAUGAUGUGGUGUAAAGGAAAGAACACUGAGUGAUCAGAACCAAUGAUGAAGCAGUAACAACAAAAAGUAUGUAUGACCUCCCGCCUCAGCCUCCCAAGUACCUGGGACUACAUGGGACCACAGCCAUCCACCACAUCCGACCUCCAUCUCUACUCUUUUGAGUCUAUGUGACUUUAUUCAUUGUAUGAGUCAGGCAGCUACUCUGAAUGGAAGGAAAAGAAUUAUUAUUUCGCAGGAAAGAACAAAUAUGGUUACCCUUAUAUACAAAGGGUCAGAGCAUAGAGGUAUUGAGAGCAGAUGAAAAAACAAAGACAUUUCAGAGCACAAAAGAUAAUAGAAUAAUGACAGGCCAUUGCUGUACAUACUUACUUAGCUGUGAGCGCCAGAGUAGAGUGAAUCAAAGGAAAGUAAAGAAGGGGUACCCAUUCAAUACUGCUUCUUGGGUCUAGCUAGUUUUAAUGGUGCUAAUGUACACAGUGAAAGCUAAUAAACUUGGUUCUGAAAUCAGAAAUUUCUCUAAAGAAAAUAAUCAAAGAAGUACACUAAAAUUAAUAUUUAAAAUGAAUAUUUAGAUAAUAAUAAAUUUUAAAACCUGUAGGCCGGGCACAGUGGCUCACGCCCGUAAUCCCGGGUGGCCGAGGUGGGCAAAUCACGAAGUCAGGAGUUCGAGAAUAGCCUGGCAAACAUGGUGAAACCCCAUCUCUACUAAAAAUACAAAAAAUUAGCUGAGUGUAAUGGCGGGCGCCUGUAGUCCCAGCUACUCAGGAGGCUGAAGCAGAAUUGCUUGAACCCAGGAGGCAGAGGUUGCAGUGAGCCAAGAUCGUGCCACUGCACUCUAGCUCAGGCAACUGAGUGAGACUCCAUCUCAAAAAAAAAAA
Long non-coding RNA from Macaca fascicularis (crab-eating macaque), 9505 nucleotides. Lineage: Eukaryota; Metazoa; Chordata; Mammalia; Primates; Cercopithecidae. The record is from Ensembl.